UACGUAGGUGGCAAGCGUUGUUCGGAAUUAUUGGGCGUAAAGCGCACGUAGGCGGCUUGGCAAGUCGGAUGUGAAAUCCCUCGGCUCAACCAAGGAAGUGCAUCCGAAACUGCCGAGCUUGAGUACUUAAGAGGAUCGCGGAAUUCCCGGUGUAGAGGUGAAAUUCGUAGAUAUCGGGAGGAACACCAGUGGCGAAGGCGGCGAUCUGGGAAGAUACUGACGCUGAGGUGCGAAAGCGUGGGGAGCAAACAGG
Molecule: ribosomal RNA, 253 nt
Filed under: uncultured bacterium
Lineage: Bacteria
Description: partial 16S ribosomal RNA
Rfam family: Bacterial small subunit ribosomal RNA
Source: RNAcentral